Molecule: ribosomal RNA, 271 nt
Filed under: uncultured bacterium
Lineage: Bacteria
Description: partial 16S ribosomal RNA
Rfam family: Bacterial small subunit ribosomal RNA
Source: RNAcentral
UACGUAGGUGACAAGCGUUGUCCGGAUUUACUGGGCGUAAAGAGCGCGCAGGCGGUCGAUCAAGUCGAGUGUGAAAGCCCCCGGCUCAACUGGGGAGGGUCAUUCGAUACUGAUCGACUCGAAGGCAGGAGAGGGUAGUGGAAUUCCCGGUGUAGCGGUGGAAUGCGUAGAGAUCCGGAAGAACACCGGUGGCGAAGGCGGCCCGCUGGGCAGGAAGACCCCGUAAGGGGUCGGCUGACGCUGAGGCGCGACAGCGUGGGGAGCAAACAGG